Molecule: long non-coding RNA, 170 nt
Organism: Oreochromis niloticus (Nile tilapia)
Lineage: Eukaryota; Metazoa; Chordata; Actinopteri; Cichliformes; Cichlidae
Exons: 2
Source: RefSeq, a predicted model, not a curated record
CCAGGUGUCAGGAGUGAUGACCUUACCGAGCUUCUUCUCACCUGGAGAUAAAAAGCAACGCAGCAUAUGUAACAAAAGCAACGCAGUGGAUUUAAAGGAAAUAAGCCUAGAAGGUGAAGAGGGAGUAUCGAGAGCAUCCUGAGCAGCUGCAUGACUGUCUGGUAUGGAAA